This 366-nucleotide RNase P RNA is filed under the name bovine gut metagenome. Its description in RNAcentral is "Bacterial RNase P class A". It matches the Rfam family "Bacterial RNase P class A". Rfam says of the family: Ribonuclease P (RNase P) is a ubiquitous endoribonuclease, found in archaea, bacteria and eukarya as well as chloroplasts and mitochondria. Its best characterised activity is the generation of mature 5'-ends of tRNAs by cleaving the 5'-leader elements of precursor-tRNAs. Cellular RNase Ps are ribonucleoproteins. The record is from RNAcentral.
UGGCGGCUUGUCGCUCGUUAACUUCAUGGUUGCGAGAGGAAAGUCCGGGCAACACAGAGCAUCACAUUUCUUAACGGGAAGCUAUGGGUGACCGUAGGGUUCAGGUGACAGAGAAUAACCGCCGCGACCUCAUGCAUGGGGACUGCGGCAAGGGUGAAAAGGUGGGGUAAGAGCCCACCGGGCGAUGUGGUGACACAGCGCGCCGCACCACCUGUGAGUUGCAAGUUCAUGUAUACCGGCAUUUAAGGGCUGCUCGUCCAUUGUCGGGGGGUAGAACGCUAUACUGGCGCAGCAAUGCGUCGGACAGAUAAAUGACAAGCACCAGCCCGUAAGGGCAGGCACAAAACCCGGCUUAUAGCCAUACUG